AAUGCUUCGUGUAUUUGUCAUAAGCGUAAAAUAGGAGUGAAAGAAAAUUUUAUUGAUGUUCUGUUUUAGUUUACCAGACUUUUUUUAAUCCUCGAUGCAAUGGAGCUUUCUACAGAUCCAUAUGAACUUAAAUUAUUUCAGAUGUUUCAAAGUUGUGUUAAAGAGCAGUGUGGUUUACUGGAUGAAGAUUCGUUACAUCGUUUGUGCAGCCUCUUGGAGCUUCAGGACAAAGGUGCUGUGCUGAUUGCGGAUUUAUCUGGCAACGGUCGUGUCUCAUUUGAUCGUUUCAAAGAAGCUCUAUUAAAAUUUCUUGGUGCGGAGCUGGAGUUAGAUACAAAAGAACCAGUUUCAGAUUCGGGUACAUGCACUCGCGGUGAUAAAGCCAUUGCACCAGCGUCGUUCGUCAGUACCAGUAACAGUAGCGAUUUAGCAGGUGCCUCAGAGCAAACUCUAGUCAUAUGUGAUGUGACCGAAGGAACUAAAUCGUUGGAUAGUGACUGCCAAGCAUCCGAUCGAGAAGUUUCACCAAAGCUAGUGAUGGGGACAAAAAAAUAUGGUCGACGCUCGCGACCCACAGUUCAAAAUACAUCGCUGACAGAUUCUGAAGAUGAUGUUCAUCAACAUGAUCAUAGACUAUGCGAUGUAAAUUUGCACCACGGUAUUUCAUCAGUGCAGCGUUCUUCUUCACAAACUGACAUUCCUAAUAAGGGAAGGCGACGACCUCCUAAAAUGAAUGAUGAUAUUAAGCUUAAGCGUUGUUCAUCUUUACCUACUCACCGAAACUUUGCUUCAAUCAUAAAAAAAAGUCAACUUGGAAACGAUACGGUGUCGUUAUCGAUUUGGGACAAACAUCAACAAAAACAAGCCCUAAGUGAUCCGCCAAUUUCUACAGAAUCAAAAAUCCUGCCUGCCAACAGAAUAUUAGAUAUAUUUGGACGAGCGCAAAUUGCUAAUGGGAGGGGCAUUUUGCUCGCACUCGGAUUCGAUGAUGAAGAAGUAGAUGUAACCCAGUUGAAUAAAGUUUUAGAAGAAGAACUACGUGGUUUAGAGGAUGAUACACAGCUGGCAUUAGUUCGUGCCUAUAUGGCUAUGCAGAUAUCAGAAGUAACGAGUUUACGUCAAACAGUAUGCCAAUUGUAUGAUGAAAAUAAAAAGUUACAGACCAGCAAUAAAGACGCGAAUCAUCGAUUAUCCUUACUAGUUACUGAAGUCGAUGAGCGGCAAACAUCUUUGGAAGAUUCCGCGAAAAAAGAGAUACGCGUCAUGGAGCAAAGGCAUGCGACUUUGAUCCGUGAAUUGUCAACACGAAUGGCUAACGAUCGGGAAAAUUGGAGUAAUUUUACGUCUCGUCUUGAAGCAAAAAUCAAGCAACUUGAGCAAGAAGAAAUUAAGUAUAGGACAGAGCUGGAACUAGUACGAAAAGAAAAUUGCGAUUUAGAAUGUGAGCAAAAAAAAAUGCAGAAACAAGUCACCGAACUACUCGAAAAGAAUGUACAACUAAAUCUACAUGUAGCAGAAUUAAAAAAGGUUAGAAGUAAAGAAGUUAGUGAUAUUAGAAAUGACCAGAGAAGUGAUGAAGACGGAAAUGUAGCCCAAUUGGUAGAAAAAAUGUCAGAAUUGCAAAUUGAAAACAAAAAUUUACGAGAUAAGACCGAUGAGCUAAUCGCUGAAAUCGAGUCAAUUAAUUUAGAGCUAUUGCGUGUAAAAUCGAAGAACAAAAAAAUCCGACCUGUAAGUAACACGAAGACGUCUACAGCGAUAGUUGUUCCCUGUGCUGUUUUAGAUGAUGCUGAGCUGGGAGCUAAUUUGACUGCUACUAAGCGCCGCGGUGACUCUCCCAGUAAAUCACAUAUCACAGAAGAAAGCCCUCGAUUGGGUAAGGUGCGGAAAUGUACAGACACAACGGGCAGUGAGACCAGUGAUACCAGCGGUGAGUGGAUGGCACUCAACUCUGAGUUGCUUGAUUCAGAGUCACCUCGGAGUUUAAAAGAAGAUAAUACUAAAGAAAUAGAAGCAAAACAAAAAAGUAGUUGGACUUCAAGUGAAGGAGAUUCAACAGAUGAACGCUGUAAAGAAUUAGAAGCCAGUUUGGAACAAAUGCAACGCGCAUACGAGGAUUGCGAGGAUUAUUGGCAAUCGAAGCUAGCUGAAGAACGGAAGUUAUUUGAAAGAGAACGGCAAAUUUACGAAGAAGAACAACAGGAAAGUGAUAAAAAAUUCACUGAGUUGGUGGAAAAAGUUCGCGAAUAUGAAGAACAAUUCAGUCGUGAUGAUAGACUGUCUCCCAUAGAGGAAAAAGAUGCUUUAGAGCAGCAAUAUGCAGAUUUAGAGGCAGAGGCAAAUGAUUUACGAGAGACUGCGAGAAAAAUGUUCGAUGAAAAGUGCAACGAAAUCGAUUGCUUACAACGAGAAAUCGAGGAUUUACGUACGAGAUUAGGCGAAAGUGUGGAAAUAUUAACAGGUGCAUGCGAGUUAAAUAACGAAGCGAUGGCAGUGAGUGCUAUGCACAUUAAUGUGGAUAGACACAGUCCGGCUAGUUCACCGAUUAGCUACCUUUGGCAUCAGAGUACCAUACAAGAACCAGCUAAGAACUACAAUACAGCUUUUCUCUCACCGGAGUCACCUAAUCGACAAGCUAAACGAAAUAAUCUCACAACGUCUGAAACUACAAUAUUUAGUACCACUCCAGUGGACACCAUCGCACCUAUUGAGAAGCCUGCGGAAUCAAAUCAGUUUGAGUGGGAAACAGAUGAUGUCUCUUCUACAGCAUCAGCCAAAAGUUCCGCAGGCAAUAGUCCUGCGUCAACAAGUAGUGCACAUCAGUCACACACACAGCAGCAGUGCAAAAAGUCGCGUAGUACCGAAAAUAGUGUAUCUGGUCUGGCUAUAAAGGAAGAGUUAAAGCGAUUAAAAUUCUUCGAAAUAUCUUUAAAGGAACAAGUUAAGAACUUAUCUUUGCAACGAGAUGGAUUGGUUAUGGAACUGCAGCAGUUGCAAGAGGCCCGCCCUAUGCUAGAAAAGGCGUUUGCGCGUACCUUACAUCCAAGUAUUACACAGCGCGUAAACCAACUGGAACUACGAAAUCGUCAUUUGCAAAAUGCAAUCAAGCAACAGCAACAACAAACAGAAUCCCUAAUGCAGCGUUCCUGGCAGCAACAUCAAAUGGAACUCGCAGACUUGCAUAAUCGAAUCGAAGCGCAGGGAUCAAUGAUCGCAGAACAAGUGCAGCGUUUGCAAAACGCAGAUUUGCUUGUUAAAGACUUGUACGUGGAGAAUGCUCAUUUAGCCGCCACAGUACAACGGUUGGAGCAGAAUCGUGCUCGCAUGACUAUGAUGCACCAGCAACGACAAGGUUUGAAUGGAUUGCCUGGAAUGCCUUAAUCAUUUUGGUGUAAUGUUAUCCAUAAAUUUAGAGGCGAUUGAAUUACGAAAUAUUUUCUAUGAGUAGUUGAUAUCAUCUGUACACAAAAAGUACUACUAUUAUUCUACAAAAUGCCGAGUCCUCGAAUCUAACAUUUGAAGGGUAAGAAUAGUUCUAAAUAGAGCAAACAGUAUAAACCAUUAAAGGCGUUUUUUGUGAAACUAAACGCGAAAAACUUAACAUCUUGGCGCAGUACUAAGAUCAAGUUCGAGUUCUACGCAGAAAAUUACUUCGGAAACGACCUACAGCUGCACAGCAUCAGAAACUUUAAAAUCUGUAUUCAUAAUUAUCAUGUUCUUAAUUUCUUUGAAUUACUUGUCAUAUCGCAAAACUACUGAAUUCAUGCUACUUAUUGCAUAAAACACACUAAAAGCGAUUUAAAUACCUAAUUAUAAUCUUAUCGCUACACGUAUAUCGCACAGGUAACGUAACAGUCUUUUUCUGUAACGUACCAGUCCGACUAUUUUUUACAAAUAUUGACCUCAAAAUUAGUUUUAUCAGUUCAAUUAAUACGUAGUUCUUGAAUGCCAUCCUGAAGCUAGGAAACUGUGUACCAACUUUUGAAAACAUUAUAUUAGGAGAGCACACUUUUUCAAUAAUAUAAAGCAACUUUAAAAAGUACUUUCAAAAAUUGUAAUGCAACAGUCCGCUGUUGAAACAUUCAUAACUCCUAAACCACAGGAGUUACAAUAUAUUUUUGUAUAUAUUAAAUAAUGCUACAUACUUAUGCUUUCAGGUGCAAGAAGAA
RNA transcript from Rhagoletis zephyria (snowberry fruit fly), 4169 nucleotides. It is a transcript of the gene named blastoderm-specific gene 25D, with no coding region annotated. NCBI's taxonomy places the organism in Eukaryota, Metazoa, Arthropoda, Insecta, Diptera, Tephritidae. The record is from RefSeq and is a predicted model, not a curated record.